GGGUUGUGAGGUUAAGCGACUAAGCGUACACGGUGGAUGCCCUGGCAGUCAGAGGCGAUGAAGGACGUGCUAAUCUGCGAAAAGCGUCGGUAAGGUGAUAUGAACCGUUAUAACCGGCGAUGUCCGAAUGGGGAAACCCAGUGUGAUUCGUCACACUAUCGUUAACUGAAUACAUAGGUUAACGAGGCGAACCGGGGGAACUGAAACAUCUAAGUACCCCGAGGAAAAGAAAUCAACCGAGAUUCCCCCAGUAGCGGCGAGCGAACGGGGAGCAGCCCAGAGUCUGAAUCAGCUUGUGUGUUAGUGGAACGGUCUGGAAAGUCCGACGGUACAGGGUGAUAGUCCCGUACACCAAAAUGCACAGGCUGUGAACUCGAAGAGUAGGGCGGGACACGUGGUAUCCUGUCUGAAUAUGGGGGGACCAUCCUCCAAGGCUAAAUACUCCUGACUGACCGAUAGUGAACCAGUACCGUGAGGGAAAGGCGAAAAGAACCCCGGCGAGGGGAGUGAAAAAGAACCUGAAACCGUGUACGUACAAGCAGUGGGAGCACCUUCGGGUGUGACUGCGUACCUUUUGUAUAAUGGGUCAGCGACUUAUAUUCUGUAGCAAGGUUAACCGUAUAGGGGAGCCGCAGGGAAACCGAGUCUUAACUGGGCGUUAAGUUGCAGGGUAUAGACCCGAAACCCGGUGAUCUAGCCAUGGGCAGGUUGAAGGUUGGGUAACACUAACUGGAGGACCGAACCGACUAAUGUUGAAAAAUUAGCGGAUGACUUGUGGCUGGGGGUGAAAGGCCAAUCAAACCGGGAGAUAGCUGGUUCUCCCCGAAAGCUAUUUAGGUAGCGCCUCGUGAACUCAUCUUCGGGGGUAGAGCACUGUUUCGGCUAGGGGGUCAUCCCGACUUACCAACCCGAUGCAAACUACGAAUACCGAAGAAUGUUAUCACGGGAGACACACGGCGGGUGCUAACGUCCGUCGUGAAGAGGGAAACAACCCAGACCGCCAGCUAAGGUCCCAAAGUCAUGGUUAAGUGGGAAACGAUGUGGGAAGGCACAGACAGCCAGGAUGUUGGCUUAGAAGCAGCCAUCAUUUAAAGAAAGCGUAAUAGCUCACUGGUCGAGUCGGCCUGCGCGGAAGAUGUAACGGGGCUAAACCAUGCACCGAAGCUGCGGCAGCGACACUAUGUGUUGUUGGGUAGGGGAGCGUUCUGUAAGCCUGCGAAGGUGUGCUGUGAGGCAUGCUGGAGGUAUCAGAAGUGCGAAUGCUGACAUAAGUAACGAUAAAGCGGGUGAAAAGCCCGCUCGCCGGAAGACCAAGGGUUCCUGUCCAACGUUAAUCGGGGCAGGGUGAGUCGACCCCUAAGGCGAGGCCGAAAGGCGUAGUCGAUGGGAAACAGGUUAAUAUUCCUGUACUUGGUGUUACUGCGAAGGGGGGACGGAGAAGGCUAUGUUAGCCGGCGACGGUUGUCCCGGUUUAAGCAUGUAGGCUGGUUAUCCAGGCAAAUCCGGAUAAUCAAGGCUGAGGUGUGAUGACGAGGCACUACGGUGCUGAAGUAACAAAUGCCCUGC
Molecule: ribosomal RNA, 1566 nt
Filed under: Klebsiella pneumoniae
Lineage: Bacteria; Pseudomonadati; Pseudomonadota; Gammaproteobacteria; Enterobacterales; Enterobacteriaceae
Description: bacterial LSU rRNA
Rfam family: Bacterial large subunit ribosomal RNA
Source: RNAcentral